RNAcentral lists this ribosomal RNA (294 nucleotides) under uncultured Scutellospora. RNAcentral describes it as "partial 18S ribosomal RNA". Lineage: Eukaryota; Fungi; Glomeromycota; Glomeromycetes; Diversisporales; Gigasporaceae. The record is from RNAcentral.
CCACGAAGUUCAUCAAGAGAUAACACUUGAAGCCGCGGGGGAAAGACAGCUUCAAGUCGUCGGCGAUGUCGGCUCAGUGACAGUGAAGGCGGCGAUCCGUACAUGAAAUGAGGGGACACCAUGCCACAGGAAAAGGGCAGGUCACCGUCUGUGGUCACAGUCAGAAGCCCGUCUGGGUCCCCCAAGCCAUUAUAUUCAAUUCAAGGCUAGUAAUGUGGUCAUCCCUCUGUCGUGAGCAUCUAGCUUUUUGUAGUUGAAUUUCGGGGUUCUACCGUUUGUCGGGCUUUGUCUGUA